Caenorhabditis elegans is the source of this 21-nucleotide non-coding RNA. The record is from Ensembl. NCBI's taxonomy places the organism in Eukaryota, Metazoa, Nematoda, Chromadorea, Rhabditida, Rhabditidae.
UGAUACGAGUUUUGUGUACAG